UACGUAGGGGCAAGCGUUGUCCGGAAUUACUGGGCGUAAAGCGCACGCAGGCUGAAUUAUAAGUCGGUAGUCAAAGGCGGAGGCUCAACCUCUGUAUAUCUAUCGAUACUGUAAAUCUGGAGUAUGUGAGAGGGAAGCGGAAUUCCCGGCGUAGCGGUGAAAUGCGUAGAUAUCGGGAGGAACACCAGUGGCGAAGGCGGCUUCCUGGCACAAUACUGACGCUCAUGUGCGAAAGCUAGGGCAGCGAACGGGAUUAGAUA
This 260-nucleotide ribosomal RNA is filed under the name uncultured prokaryote. Its description in RNAcentral is "partial 16S ribosomal RNA". It matches the Rfam family "Bacterial small subunit ribosomal RNA", at positions 524 to 784 of the family's 1533-position model. The record is from RNAcentral.